GACGAACGCUGGCGGCGUGCUUAACACAUGCAAGUCGAACGAUGAAGCCUAGCUUGCUAGGUGGAUUAGUGGCGAACGGGUGAGUAAUACGUGAGUGACCUACCUUUGACUCUGGGAUAAGCCUGGGAAACUGGGUCUAAUACCGGAUACGACCAAUCUCCGCAUGGGGUGUUGGUGGAAAGCGUUAUGGAGUGGUUUUAGAUGGGCUCACGGCCUAUCAGCUUGUUGGUGAGGUAAUGGCUUACCAAGGCGACGACGGGUAGCCGGCCUGAGAGGGUGACCGGCCACACUGGGACUGAGACACGGCCCAGACUCCUACGGGAGGCAGCAGUGGGGAAUAUUGCACAAUGGGCGCAAGCCUGAUGCAGCGACGCCGCGUGAGGGAUGACGGCCUUCGGGUUGUAAACCUCUGUUAGCAUCGAAGAAGCGA
Molecule: ribosomal RNA, 430 nt
Filed under: Rothia dentocariosa
Lineage: Bacteria; Bacillati; Actinomycetota; Actinomycetes; Micrococcales; Micrococcaceae
Description: bacterial SSU rRNA
Rfam family: Bacterial small subunit ribosomal RNA
Source: RNAcentral